GAUGAACGCUGGCGGCGUGCCUAAUACAUGCAAGUCGAGCGAACGGACGAGAAGCUUGCUCCUCUGAUGUUAGCGGCGGACGGGUGAGUAACACGUGGAUAACCUACCUAUAAGACUGGGAUAACUUCGGGAAACCGGAGCUAAUACCGGAUGAUAUUUUGAACCGCAUGGUUCAAAAGUGAAAGACGGUUUUGCUGUCACUUAUAGAUGGAUCCGCGCCGCAUUAGCUAGUUGGUAAGGUAACGGCUUACCAAGGCAACGAUGCAUAGCCGACCUGAGAGGGGGAUCGCCCCCCCGGAACCGGGGCACCGUCCCGGACCCCUCGGGGGGGCGCCGGUGGGGAUCCUUCCCCAUUGGCCGAAGGCCUGCCGAGCCACCGCGGGUGGGGUGUGAAGGUUCUUCGAUUCUUAAACCUCUGUUAUUGGGAAGGAACAUUUUGGAAGGUACCAGUGCCGAUUUGACCGUUACUAAUCCAGAAGGCCCCGCCUACCACCUU
Molecule: ribosomal RNA, 496 nt
Filed under: uncultured bacterium
Lineage: Bacteria
Description: partial 16S ribosomal RNA
Rfam family: Bacterial small subunit ribosomal RNA
Source: RNAcentral